Molecule: ribosomal RNA, 301 nt
Filed under: uncultured bacterium
Lineage: Bacteria
Description: partial 16S ribosomal RNA
Rfam family: Bacterial small subunit ribosomal RNA
Source: RNAcentral
CAGCAGCCACGGUAAUACGUAGGGUGCAAGCGUUAAUCGGAAUUACUGGGCGUAAAGCGUGCGCAGGCGGUUAUAUAAGUCAGAUGUGAAAUCCCCGGGCUCAACCUGGGAACUGCAUUUGAGACUGUAUGGCUAGAGUGUGUCAGAGGGGGGUAGAAUUCCACGUGUAGCAGUGAAACGCGUAGAUAUGUGGAGGAAUACCGAUGGCGAAGGCAGCCCCCUGGGAGAACACUGAUGCUCAUGCACGAAAGCGUGGGGAGCAAACAGGAUUAGAUACCCCCGUAGUCCCUGUCUCUUAUAA